AAAACGACUAUGAUGGGAAGAGUAAGCCGAUCCUCCUUAUCCCAGAGAGCCGGGGUAGCUGAAAACCGGCAUAAGCGAGCAGGCUGAACAUGGCCCCAGAGUCUUGCAGAUGAACAGCCACGGAAAUGACCGUGCCCAGUAGUUUGUGACGUCGGCCCACGUUACGGGCAGAGUCUGUUUCAGACUCACCAAGUCCGUUGUCCGCGAGGGGAACGGAGCAUUUGGGUGGUACCGCGAGUUAGAGCUCGCCCCAAUU
Molecule: non-coding RNA, 256 nt
Filed under: Brevibacillus sp.
Lineage: Bacteria; Bacillati; Bacillota; Bacilli; Caryophanales; Paenibacillaceae
Description: T-box sequence
Rfam family: T-box leader
About the family: Uncharged tRNA acts as the effector for transcription antitermination of genes in the T-box leader family. T-boxes are found upstream of many aminoacyl-tRNA synthetase genes and some amino acid biosynthetic genes usually in Gram-positive bacteria.
Source: RNAcentral